RNAcentral lists this unclassified non-coding RNA (231 nucleotides) under Hevea brasiliensis (rubber tree). Lineage: Eukaryota; Viridiplantae; Streptophyta; Magnoliopsida; Malpighiales; Euphorbiaceae. The record is from RNAcentral.
AAGAAAACCUGCAGAAGCAUGGCAAAUUUAUUAAAUUCCAAAAUAUUUAAAACAAGACAUAUACAGGAAGUUGACUGGACUCCCUACAAGAGCUUUAUAUAGUAAAGAAAGGAAUGGGAAAUUUCGCACACAUGGAGAUGCACUAUUAGCAAACAAGCACUUCAACCAGAAGCAGUAUCUAAAAGUUUAGAAAAUGAGACUAUCAUUACCAGCCCAUAGCCAGUAGCUUCA